This 210-nucleotide unclassified non-coding RNA is filed under the name soil metagenome. RNAcentral's name for it is "partial contains 5.8S ribosomal RNA, internal transcribed spacer 2, and large subunit ribosomal RNA". The record is from RNAcentral.
AACCUUAUGGACCUGCGGGCGUAUACCUGCGGAGGGAUCAUUACCGAGUUUACAACUCCCAAACCCCUGUGAACAUACCUAUACGUUGCCUCGGCGGAUCAGCCCGCGCCCUGUAAAAAGGGACGGCCCGCCCGAGGACCCUAAACUCUGUUUUUAGUGGAACUUCUGAGUAAAACAAACAAAUAAAUCAAAACUUUUAGCAACGGAUCU